AGCACAUCGGAGGCAGAGCCCGGAAGUCUACCUGUCCUGAGGACUUCAUGCUGUUGUGGAGUUUCCCUUCAAGGUAUUGCUACUGGAGCAGAUUAAUGAUUCCACCACCACCCUCAGAAAGGACUUAGAGAGAUGUAGACUGUUAGUAAAAGUUUGGAAGAGUACAUUGUAGUAAACUUAGGUUAGCAUGCUUUUGCUGGUGGUUUUGAUGUGGAAAAUCUUAGGGAACAGUUUGAAAUUCAGAAAGGCACAGUCUUUUGAAGACAGGGAACAAGAACAAUGACCACCCAGCUAAUACUAGCUGAUGUGCCUCUCUUGCUGAAGGUAGGCUGGCGAUCAAGGUGAUGACUAAUGUCUUCUACUCAUUUUUACCCUCAGAUUCCUGACAGGAUUUAUGAAAAAAAAUUCUUAAUAAGUAGAUAUGCCCUGAGGAUUUACAGUAAUAAGGACUGUUUUAUAUGAAGGUUUAAAUUUGUGAUGUUCUUAAGAUUUUUAUAAGAUUAUAUCUUAAGAUGGACAAUAAAACAAUUGCAGGAUGUCGAUAAGAGAAACUGGCUGAGAAAAUUACCUUUCUUCCUUACACUUUGGCAAUGUAACAAGUCGGUUGGUUACGAAUGUAUAUGGGCUCUCGAGAAUAGUUUGGUGUGGUUUUGUUUAUCCGUAAUAUGUAAAACAUUUGAUCAUGUGUGAGGUGUUGGGAAACAUGUUUUUUCCUUAUGUAUACUCACUGUAAUCAUUCACUCAAAGGAAAAUAGAAUAUAAACACAUUGUGAUAUUUGAAUUGCUGGAAAGAUUUUGUUGGGAUAUACAAGCUGUGUGAGAAAAAAUAAAGUUGAUGGAUUUUG
Long non-coding RNA from Rattus rattus (black rat), 845 nucleotides. RefSeq lists it as uncharacterized. Lineage: Eukaryota; Metazoa; Chordata; Mammalia; Rodentia; Muridae. The transcript is spliced from 2 exons. The record is from RefSeq and is a predicted model, not a curated record.